AGGUAUUCCCAUCUUUAAGAAGACAUCAUAAAAUAAGAUAUUGGUGGAGCUUCUAUUAUCAAUUAAAAUAUGGUGUAUAUCAUAGUUUUUAAUAUUUACAAUUACAACCACCACAUCAUUAUGUGAAAACUAAAUUCCUUGAGCAUCUUCCUCGAUAAAAGUUAUAGGCUUUUCAGUUCUUCGCCUUUUCGCCACUUCUCCAUCUCCUUCAAGCCCUCUGCUG
This 223-nucleotide long non-coding RNA is filed under the name Elaeis guineensis (African oil palm). RNAcentral's name for it is "long non-coding RNA (EGUI_LNC048102)". The record is from RNAcentral. Lineage: Eukaryota; Viridiplantae; Streptophyta; Magnoliopsida; Arecales; Arecaceae.